Molecule: long non-coding RNA, 7289 nt
Filed under: Manihot esculenta (cassava)
Lineage: Eukaryota; Viridiplantae; Streptophyta; Magnoliopsida; Malpighiales; Euphorbiaceae
Description: long non-coding RNA (MESC_LNC012248)
Source: RNAcentral
UGGCUUGUCUGUGAUAUGAUGCAUUCCAUAAGAUCAUGUGUUAAUGACUUGUUUUACUGUUCUACUCACUGGGCUAUAGAGCUCAUCCCACUCCCUUAACCCCAGUCUUGCAGGUUCAGUGUACAGUGUACAGGGGAAGUCCAGCAGAGUACAGGAAGAGAGAAGAGUGUUGUAAUAGACUAUUGUGGACAUGUAAUAUUAAAGAGAUGUAACAGUUGUGUAUAAAGUUAGAAUUGUGCUUGACUUAGUUAUGUUUGUGUUGUCAAUCUUUUGUAUACAUGGUCUGUUUAUAUAAUUGUUUUACAGAGUAUGUGAAAACAACCAGGCUUAACAGGUAUGAAUUAACCCAUCUAGAGCAAGCUCUAGUCAGGGGUACAGAGUACAGAGAUAGUGCAUACACAGGUUAAGUCUUGGUCCAGAGAAAAGUUUUAUUUUCACAGAAAAUGUAUGACCAUGUAUGAGAUUUUACAGGUACUCAGAGAAUAUAGCAGGCUUGCUACGGGUUCUGGCGGCCUUAAGCCGAUCUGACUCCUAGCGCCGGUGACGAUCCAUUUUGGGGUCGUUACAAUGACUUGAUUUAGCAAUAGGUGUUGAUUUGCCCAAAUCAUUGAGAGAAAGAAAUUCACAAAGGCUUAGACUUCAAAGGCACAAAUUGAAAACUGUUCCAAUGGUCAAAAGACUAUGAACAGAGCUAGUAGCCACUUGGACAGGUGACCAACUGAGUAAAUGGGGGUGGGUAUCACAAAUAUGUACCUUCACGUCAAAAGGUUGGUGACUUGUUCAAGCAAAAUUAAAAGUGCAAAAAGCUGAAUAAAGUACUUCAAGGUAAGGGCAAGUCACUCUGAAAGCUAGAAAAAGUCUUAACAAAAAUGUGCAUGUAUGGUCUCUCUUGAGGAAAAUAAAUCCUAGCCAUGGUAAGCAAAGGGAAACAAUGAAAGAAUGUAAGUAAUCUUCAUGCAUAUAUUCUUCACUGCAAUGAUUCAAAAUAGGUUUCUUGAGUAAGAGCUUAAGUGGAAAUAAUGAUCUAGAGCAAAGAAAGCUUGUUUACCUAUGUUUAUUUGCUUGAGGACAAGCAAAAGAUUAAGUGUGGGGGUAUUUAAUAGAGCAUAUUUUAGUCCUUUUUAUCUUGAUAUUAUUGAUGAUUAUUUACAUGAUUUCUGAUUAAUUUAGUGCUCUUGGCAUUGUUUUGCAGAAAAUGGUGUAAAAGGACAUUAUGGAGAAAAUCCCCCUAAAAACUGCCUUAUUUGGAGCAAAAGGGAGCAAGCUUGCCAAGUUGAAAUCAAGUCAAGCUAAAUAUGGAAAGUUGUAUAUAAGGAAAGUGGUAAAUAUGGAAAGAACAUUCAGCCAAGGCAAUUUGAAAUUCAAAUUUCAAAUCUCCAAUUAGCCUUUCCCUUAUUGAAGAAGCCAUAUCUCAAGCUACCAUAUAUGAAGAGCCAAAUGAGGAAAGUAUUUUGAAAUUCAAAUCUCCAAGAUUCAUAUUCAGAUUUUGGAUUUCAAGAUCCAGCUUAUUGAGGAAGCCAAAUCCAAAGAUCACAUGUUUCCCACUUCAUGCCUUGCACAUUCAAAAUUCAAAUGGCAAAAGGAGUGACUCGCGGUUGUCGAAGCCGGUCAAAAAUAACCUUUCUGGUUAUCAACAAUUUACAACUGCAGAUAGUGGUGAAAGGAUCGAAUCCACAGGGAAUUGAGAACUCACCUAUUUCUCUUUUUAUGACCAAGAAAAUAAACUGGAACAAUAAUAAACUAAAAAUGAGAUAAAAACUGAAAGUGGGAUUAAAUGAGAUAAAUUGAAAAUUGGGAUAAAAAACUGUCAACAAAAUAACAGGGGGGUUUGAAAUUGAUUGUAGUAACUAAUAAUGAGAAUAAUAAUAGAAAGCAAAUAAUAAAAUAAAGAGUAAUCAAUAAUGAGAAAGUUCUAGUUGAAGUAUUGGAUCCACUUUAGUUGUUGGGAUUGAUCACAGACACUUUGUUCUUUUGGGUUGAUUCAAUAGAUUAGUUAUUGAGAUGGUAGACGCUUCUCACCACCAUUAUCUCUCCUUAUGAUUAAACCAAUUAGGGAACGUCCUCUAAUUAAUUACUAAUUAACAAAUUGCCAAGGAACGUCCUUGGACCUCAGGCAUCAAAACAAUUGUCAAUUGCAUUAAGAAAUAGAGAGAUCCAAUCCUAGCUACCCAAACGUAUGGAGAUAACGCUAGAUCAUACAAUUUUCUUGGGUUUUAUCCCAAGUAUUCUCAUGUAAAAAUAAUCUAAGCAAGGAUUUAAAUUAUUCAAACUAACAAAUAAUUAUUUUGCAAUUAAAAAUCAACGUAGAUCUCAAUAACAAAAUAAUAUAAAAAUUAAGUAUGAAAUUGCAUGAAUAUUAAACUCCCAAAAAUUAAAUAAUAUUUGAUCAAGUCUCACAACCUAUUAAACAACCAAAACUUCAACCAAUAUUCAACUAGAUGAAAGAAAUUCAGCCACUCGUUGGCUGAAUUAAAAACAGAAAAAAAUAAAAAUAAAAAGGGAAAGGAAGGAAAGAACCGAAGAACUUCUGCCUUGUGCCGGACUGCGGAAUUGCUGAAUUAGAAUUGGAAUUGUCUGUCCACUGAAGAGCUCUUUUUAUAAGUGCAGAGGUGCGUCCUAUUUUGGAAUUUCUGGCCACGUGCAGUGAGUCUGCGCGAGAGUGGGCUGCGUCCGUGAGUUUGGAGUGCUGGCCACAUGUGAGGUGCUUGGUCAUGGGCUGUCCAUGUGUGUGGCGGAAUGGAAACGCCUUGGUGGGCCAUGUGCAAGUGAAGGUGCAGGUGUGGGCUGUGGUGUGCGUGAGUGGUGUGGGCCAUGUUGCAAGUGGUUGGUGCAGCCUUGAUCCGCGUGAAGGGAGUGGUGAAGCGCGGGCCAUGGUGGAAGAAUGUUGAAGCGGGCCCAUGGUCCAUGUGAAGUGAAUGGUGAAGGCCAUGAGUGCAAGGUGGAGGCGGGCCAUGUGCGUGAAUAUGAUGAUGCGCUUGGCGGGGCUUGGUCCACUUGGUCCACUGGAGGGAAUGGCGUUGAAGCAGGAGCGUGAGUGGCGGGCGUGAGUGUACUUGGCCCAUUUGAAGUGGGCUGUCCAAGUGCUUGAAUGGCUUUGGCCCAAGCGUGUUGGCGGAAUGGGCUGUCCGUGGCCUUUUUUGCGUGAGUUUGGACUGUCCAAGUGCGUGAAUAUUUAAGCUUCAAAAUAUUUUCCUCUCAUUUAGCUUGACUUGAAUCCAACUUGGCAGGCUUACUCUCUUUUGCUCCAAAUAAGGCAGUUUUAGGGGGGAUUUUCUCCAAAUUGUCCUUUUAUACCAUUUUCUGCAAAAUAAUAUUAAAAGCAAUAAAUUAAGCAGAAAUCGUGUAAAUAUUCAUCAAUAAUAUUAAUAUAAAAUGGACUAAAUUAUGCUCUAUCAAAUACCCCCACACCUUGCCUUUUGCUUGUCCUCAAGCAAAUAAACAUAGUUAAACAAGCUUUCUUACUCUAGAUCCUUAUUUCCACUUAAACUCUUACUCUAGACUCCUAUUUUGAAUCAUUGCAGUGAAGAAUAUAUGCAUGAAGAUUACUCACCUUCUUUCCUUAUUUCCCUUUGCUUACCAUGGCUAGGAUUUCUUUUACUCAAGAGAGAUCAUACAUGCACAUAUUAUUUGUUCAGAUAAGACUUUUUCUAGCUUUCAGAGUGACUUGCCCUUACCUUGAAGUACUUUAUUCAGCUUUUUGCACUUUUAAUUUUGCUUGAACAAGUCACCAACCUUUUGACGUGAAGGUACAUAUUUGUGAUACCCACCCCCAGUUACUCAGUUGGUCACCUGUCCAAGUGGCUACUAGCUCUGUUCAUAGUCUUUUGACCAUUGGAACAGUUUUCAAUUUGUGCUUUUGAAGUCUAAGCCUUUGUGAAUUUCUUUCUCUCAAUGAUUUGGGCAAAUCAACACCAAUUGCUAAAUCAAGUCAUGUUAAGUUCAUUCACAUAAUUUUCAAUUUAUUCUCUCUAAUGAGUGUCAUCAAUAUAUUUUUUACCAUGGCAAACUCAAAGAUUCAAUUCAAAAGGCAAUUUCCAAAUAUGAAUAUAACUCACUACAAUUGAUUCAACAUAAGUUUAAAGAGUCAUCACAUCAAUGGGGUCAUGGAAAGAAAAACUCAUCAACAUAGUUUAUCAGUUUGAGUAGAGCAAAUCAAAAAGAAGAAGAAGGUUGUGGUUGUGUGUGUUUUAUUGAAAGCAUAAACUAAAAAUUGAAAAAAAUCACACUGAAAAUGAAAAUAAAAAUUCAAACUGAAAAUUAAAGCAAAAAUUAAAAAUCCAGAAUUAUGCACCCCCACACCUAAAUCAUGCAUUGUCCUCAAUGUAUGGAAAAUAUUAAAAUGCAAAAGAAACUGAGUACUCCCCUGGGUGUGGUGUGCAUGGUGCGAUCCACUUGAUCAAGGCUCAAGUAAUUGGGGAAGGAAAAAGAGUCCCAACUGCAUUGAGCAAAAAGUGUAGCACUCCUUUUGAUUUGGUCAUAACCCAUCCUAUUUUUUCCAUGUACUCAUGAAGUAACAUAAUUAGCCCUUCCUCUUUCAGAUGAGGUGUGUCUCUAGUCCUUAUGUUUGCAUUUUUGAGCACUUCCAACUUUAAUUCAUAUUUCUCCAUGGCUAGCUGCAAUUUAGUACUAAAAUCUAGCAAAACAAACUCUACCUUAUCCGGAGGUUUGGGAAGGCAUUGGUCUGCAUGAUCCUUUGGUUUAGGUGCUUGGACUUCCACUUAUUCCUUGUGAGCAAGGGUUGUUUGCGUUGGAAGGCUGAAAGGAGUUUCAGAUUGCUACUUCUGCGCAAGAUUUACCUAAAAGGGAUGACUGGAAGGGGUUUUAUGCGAUGGAAGCUGUGGUGAGAGGUUCGGCGGCCAAAAGGUGGUGGAGUUCGGCGGCCGAAAGGUGGUGGUUUCAGUCUGCGCAAGGCUGAUCUGAAGAGGUGCGAUUGGCUCUCCUUUGUUCUGCGCAUGUUUGCAGUCCACCUGUUGGAUGCAACAAUCAGUUUCUUUCAGUUCUGGCUCUUUCUGGCUCUCUUCCCUGCAAAGAUUAUUGUUCAGAAUAUCAUCUUGAUUCAUAUAAAAAACAUCUUUGCUCAAAUAAUCAAUGACAUCUAAAUCAACAACAGGUUCUGUUUGACCAGUUUGUUUGGACAAACAGUUUUCUGGUUGUUUCUCUUCAGCAGCUUGUUUUUGAACUUGCGAACUUUCAUCAUCUUCCUCAUCAUCUUGAAACUCUUCCUCCCUUCUCAACAUGUUUGCAUUUUCUGCGGUGGCAAUCCGCUGUUCGAGGUUUUGUAAAGCACUUACCAUGGACUCCAUCAUCUUUUCAAGGUGCUGGGUGGAAUUUGGAGGUGCUAGUUGGACUUGAUAUCCUUGAUAAUUCUGGUAGUUGUUAGCCUCUGCAUAACUGAAGUUUGGAUAGUCUCCCCAACUUGGAUUGUAUGUGUUAUAGUAUUGAUCAUGUCUUGGCUGUUCAUAGAAUCCUCCAUAUGCAUGUCUAGCCUGACUAUUGAAUAUUUCAAACGCAUGCACUGGUUGGUCAUACUGAUAAAGUGUAGAACAUUGAUCAGUUGGUGUCCCACAUAUCCACAGAUCCUACAUGGCCUUGGUGGCUGGGAUGCUUGAACCUGUUGAACUAGUCUUAUGGCAAAUUCUUUCAUAAAAGAUGUCAGUAAACAAAAAUCAUAUCUAUUUACCUCAUCCAUGAUUCAGAUAUGCGAUGGUGACUGUGCCUUGGUGAGAUGUUCGGCGGCCGAAUGAGGAUGAUGUUCGGCGGCCGAAUGUGUUGCAGAAGGUGCUCCUGUGCAAAAGUGAUCUUCACUCUUUUUUUUUUUUUCAGAUCUGCGAUGAGGUGUUCUUUGGGUUACAAAUCAGGUCCUGAAAGAAAAACAAAUAAGUUAAAUCAAUUCCCCGGCAACGGUGCCAAUGUUUGACUCGCGGUUGUCGAAGCCGGUCAAAAAUAACCUUUCUGGUUAUCAACAAUUUACAACUGCAGAUAGUGGUGAAAGGAUCGAAUCCACAGGAAAUUGAGAACUCACCUAUUUCUUUUUUUUAUGACCAAGAAAAUAAACUGGAACAACAAUAAACUAAAAAUGAGAUAAAAACUGAAAGUGGGAUUAAAUGAGAUAAACUGAAAAUUGGGAUAAAAAACUGUCAACAAAAUAACAGGGGAGUUUGAAAUUGAUUGUAGUAACUAAUAAUGAGAAUAAUAAUAGAAAGUAAAUAAUAAAAUAAAGAGUAAUCAAUAAUGAAAAAGUUCUAGUUGAAGUAUUGGAUCCACUUUAGUUGUUGGGAUUGAUCACAGACACUUGUUCUUUUGGGUUGAUUCAAUAGAUUAGUUAUGGAGAUGGAAGACGCUUCUCACCACCAUUAUCUCUCCUUAUGAUUAAACCAAUUAGGGAACGUCCUCUAAUUAAUUACUAAUUAACAAAUUGCCAAGGAACGUCUUUGGGCCUCAGGCAUCAAAACAAUUGUCAAUUGCAUUAAGAAAUAGAGAGAUCCAAUCCUAGCUAUCCAAAUGUAUAGAGAUAACACUAGAUCAUACAAUUUCCUUGGGUUUUAUCCCAAGUGUUCUCAUGUAAGAAUAAUAUAAGCAAUUACGGACUUAAAUUAUUCAAACUAACAAAUAAUUAUUUUGCAAUUAAAAAUCAAUGUAGAUCUUAAUAACAAAAUAAUAUAAAAAUUAAGUAUGAAAUUGCAUGAAUAUUAAACUCCUAAAAAUUAAAUAAUAUUUGAUCAAGUCUCACAACCCAUUAAACAACUAAAACUUCAACCAAUAUUCAACUAGAUGAAAGAAAUUCAGCCACUCAUUGGCUGAAUUAAAAACAGAAAAAAAUAAAAAUAAAAAGGGAAAGGAAGGAAAGAACCGAAGAACUUCUACCUUGCGCCGGACUGCGAAAUUGCCGAAUUAGAAUUGGAAUUGUCUGUCCACUGAAGAGCUCUUUUUAUAAGUGCAGAGGUGCGUCCUAUUUUGGUAUUUCUGGCCACGUGCGGUGAGUCUCCGCGAGAGUGGGCUGCGUCCGUGAGUUUGGAGUGCUGGCCACAUGUGAGGUGCUUGGUCAUAGGCUGUCCAUGUGUGUGGCGGAAUGGAAACGCCUUGUUGGGCCAUGUGCAAGUGAAGGUGCAGGUGUGGGCUGUGGUGUGCGUGAGUGGUGUGGGCCAUGUUGCAAGUGGUUGGUGCGGCCUUGAUCCGCGUGAAGGGAGUGGUGAAGCGCGGGCCAUGGUGGAAGAAUGUUGAAGCGGGCCCAUGGUCCAUGUGAAGUGAAUGGUGAAGGCCAUGAGUGCAAGGUGGAGGCGGGCCAUGUG